AUUCAAUGUCUGGAGCAAGCUUUCUGCACUCCACUGCCGGUGCUUUCUGGCUUCAAAAGCAGCUUCGAGACUGAGGAAUAGUAGGCAGGAUUAGAAUAAGGCCCGGGAGUUCUACAACUCUGCUGAAUUUAAAAGGACCAUGAUCUUGGUCAGCUAAACCACACCCGAUGGCCAAGGGGCAGAGGAAAAGAUGGCAGAGUAGAGACUCUUGGACUUACUCAUUUGGAUUUUGGAGUUUUACCUGACUUGGUCAAGCCUCAUGCCAGAUCCAGGCUGAGGAGGAAGAGGAAGAGGAGGGGUUGGUCUUGCUGUCUCAGGAGUGGCAGAAGCAGAAGAAAAUCCAAGUUGGUCAAAGGAAGAGGAGGAUCAAUGGCCUUUUUUCCUCCCCCCAACCUUUUUUUUUUUUUUUUUUUUUUUAAACAAAGAAGCAAAGUGAGAACAUUAAGCCCGAAAGAGAACUGUGUUCAUUGCAGGACUUUUUGAGGUCUGGUUAAGCCAUUUAUAUAAAGAAAUUACACAGUUCCUCUUUGGUAACCUCAAUCCUGAAAGUUAGUGUGACAGGCCUACAGCUUUUUGUUCU
This 580-nucleotide long non-coding RNA is filed under the name Pan troglodytes (chimpanzee). RNAcentral describes it as "lincRNA". The record is from RNAcentral. Lineage: Eukaryota; Metazoa; Chordata; Mammalia; Primates; Hominidae.